GACGAACGCUGGCGGCGUGCUUAACACAUGCAAGUCGAACGGAAAGGCCCUGCUUUUGUGGGGUGCUCGAGUGGCGAACGGGUGAGUAACACGUGAGUAACCUGCCCUUGACUUUGGGAUAACUUCAGGAAACUGGGGCUAAUACCGGAUAGGAGCUCCUGCUGCAUGGUGGGGGUUGGAAAGUUUCGGCGGUUGGGGAUGGACUCGCGGCUUAUCAGCUUGUUGGUGGGGUAGUGGCUUACCAAGGCUUUGACGGGUAGCCGGCCUGAGAGGGUGACCGGCCACAUUGGGACUGAGAUACGGCCCAGACUCCUACGGGAGGCAGCAGUGGGGAAUAUUGCACAAUGGGCGGAAGCCUGAUGCAGCAACGCCGCGUGCGGGAUGACGGCCUUCGGGUUGUAAACCGCUUUCGCCUGUGACGAAGCGUGAGUGACGGUAAUGGGUGAAGAAGCACCGGCUAACUACGUGC
Molecule: ribosomal RNA, 469 nt
Filed under: uncultured bacterium
Lineage: Bacteria
Description: partial 16S ribosomal RNA
Rfam family: Bacterial small subunit ribosomal RNA
Source: RNAcentral